GAUGAACGCUGGCGGCGUGCUUAACACAUGCAAGUCGAACGAUGACUUUUGUGCUUGCACAAGAUGAUUAGUGGCGAACGGGUGAGUAACACGUGAGUAACCUGCCCCUGACUCUGGGAUAAGCCCGGGAAACUGGGUCUAAUACUGGAUAUGCACCGUGGACCGCAUGGUUCUUGGUGGAAAGAUUUAUUGGUCAGGGAUGGACUCGCGGCCUAUCAGCUUGUUGGUGAGGUAAUGGCUCACCAAGGCGACGACGGGUAGCCGGCCUGAGAGGGUGACCGGCCACACUGGGACUGAGACACGGCCCAGACUCCUACGGGAGGCAGCAGUGGGGAAUAUUGCACAAUGGGCGAAAGCCUGAUGCAGCGACGCCGCGUGAGGGAUGACGGCCUUCGGGUUGUAAACCUCUCUCAGUAGGGAAGAAGCGAAAGUGACGGUACCUGCAGAAGAAGCGCCGGCUAACUACGUGCCAGCAGCCGCGGUAAUACGUAGGGCGCAAGCGUUAUCCGGAAUUAUUGGGCGUAAAGAGCUCGUAGGCGGUUUGUCGCGUCUAUCGUGAAAGUCCGAGGCUCAACCUCGGAUCUGCGGUGGGUACGGGCAGACUAGAGUGAUGUAGGGGAGACUGGAAUUCCUGGU
Molecule: ribosomal RNA, 636 nt
Filed under: uncultured Arthrobacter sp.
Lineage: Bacteria; Bacillati; Actinomycetota; Actinomycetes; Micrococcales; Micrococcaceae
Description: bacterial SSU rRNA
Rfam family: Bacterial small subunit ribosomal RNA
Source: RNAcentral